This 2591-nucleotide unclassified non-coding RNA is filed under the name uncultured fungus. Its description in RNAcentral is "sequence contains 18S rRNA gene, ITS1, 5.8S rRNA gene, ITS2, 28S rRNA gene". The stretch from base 1615 to 2591 matches the Rfam family "Eukaryotic large subunit ribosomal RNA", at positions 1 to 961 of the family's 3401-position model. The record is from RNAcentral. Lineage: Eukaryota; Fungi.
GGAAGGAUCAUUACCAAAUGUCCUGUGCCUCGCUGUGGUAGACCAUUGCCUCUGCCUGGAUUUUGAUGAAAUCAAUCGAAAGGGGUUCUAGCAAGAUUGACACGAUCAUCAUCUACCAGGUGGGCCUCACAUUUGCUCUGCCUGCCCCAUCAGGUUUGAUGUGCAUCACCCGCCAACCCCGAUGGGCGGAGAUGGUGCCUGUGCAAGAGGUGUAGGCUGGUCAGAUGUUGGACCAGCCGGGGACUUUGGUGGGUACUACAUUGCUGAUAAUCAAUCAAACCCAUCCUUGAAUGUAUGUUGGUAGUAGACCGGUGCUCCAAUUACCCCACCAUCGGGGGGUGGAUUGUGGAUGAAAUCAACCAAGAGGGGAAGGAGGGUUGAUCCCAUCGCCUACCCGGCAGUUAGAUGUUGGAUGCUGCUGUGGGAGGGUUGGGGGUAUACAUUUGCAUUGGUGCACUGUGCGUGUUGCAGACCGCCUGCUUUCAGCAGGCCUGGCCCUCAUAGGAAGGAAUGCUGCCUGCCCAGCGGGAUUGACCAAGUUGAUGGUGGUCAUCUUGUCAGGCACCUCUUCUGCACCAUUGAUGGGUGGUGCUAACGAGAGGUUUGGUAGAGCCUUGUAGAAGCUUUUCAGUCCAUGACGACAUCAGGUUCUGCCUCGGUGUCGUUAAGUUCUGCAGGCUUUGGUUGAUAAGGUACUAGCCGGUUGCAUGGGUUUUUAAACACAUGUCAGAUGUCGACUGCCGAUGGGGAGGCGGGACCGACGAGGGAGAGUCGGUUUGAUAUCCGUCACUGGCGGGGCCAUUUAAGAGUGUCUGCUAUGCACUUCAGCCGACACGGCACCUUCUUGUAGUAGACCUUUCCAUAGUCUGCCACCAGAAUUCGAUGCGAAUCUUGGAUGCUGUUGUGGCAGGCCUUUUGGGUCUCCUACGUCUUCUUUUUUCACCACACAAAACUGACAUUGUAUGGUUUGUGCUUGAACGCAUAUAAUAUAACUUUCAACAACGGAUCUCUUGGCUCUCGCAUCGAUGAAGAACGCAGCGAAAUGCGAUAAGUAAUGUGAAUUGCAGAAUUCAGUGAAUCAUCGAAUCUUUGAACGCACCUUGCGCUUCUUGGCAUUCCGAGGAGCAUGCCUGUUUGAGCGUCGUUGAAUUCUCAGAACCCUGCCCAGGAUGUGGAUUGUGGAGGAUGCAAUGCCGUCCCAAUUGGGGGCCUUCUUUGCUUCUCUGAAAUGGAGUGCCGUUACGACUGCAGUCAGUGAACUACCAUCGGAUAAGAUACACAGUAUGGGUGCCAUCUGAUGUUUCUUGGCCGGUCCUCAUUGGGGCGCCCGUUAGCGCGGGUGGGCGGGGGUACCACAUGGGCUUUUUGCUGCCUGCGAUGGGCCCUUGUCGGCCAUUGGUUUCAGGAAGUCAGGUGGGGACUACCUGAGGUGGCAACCAUUGGCUGCAUGCUGGCGGAGGGCAGGUGUGUCCUUCAUGGAUUUGGAGUAUGCAUUGUUGACUGCUUCUCCAAAGGCAUUGCCGUAACGUUGGGGCUGCGGUCAUGAUGAACCUGGCGCCGGUAUGAUACACUCUUCUUACCUGCGUCUUGUCCGUGCGAGCCGCGUCCAACAUUUGACCUCAAAUCAGGCAGGACUACCCGCUGAACUUAAGCAUAUCAAUAAGCGGAGGAAAAGAAACUAACAAGGAUUCCCCUAGUAACUGCGAGUGAAGCGGGAAGAGCUCAAAUUUAAAAUCUGGCGGCCUGUGGCCGUCCGAGUUGUAAGCUAGAGAAGCGCCGUCCGCGCUGGGGCCAUGUACAAGUCUCCUGGAACGGAGCGUCGUGGAGGGUGAGAACCCCGUCUGUGACAUGGACCUCCCAGGGCACCGCGAUCGCGCCCUCAAAGAGUCGAGUUGUUUGGGAAUGCAGCUCCAAAUGGGUGGUAAACUCCAUCUAAAGCUAAACAUUGGCGAGAGACCGAUAGCGAACAAGUACCGUGAGGGAAAGAUGAAAAGAACUUUGGAAAGAGAGUUAAACAGUACGUGAAAUUGUUGAAAGGGAAACGCUUGAAGUCAGUCGCGUCGGCCUGGGAUCAGCCCCGCAAGCGUGAGGCGCACUCCCUGGUCGACGGGUCAGCACCAGUCUCGACCGUUGGAGAAGGGUCGGGGGAAUGUGGCAUCCUCGGAUGUGCUUAUAGCCCCCGAUCGCAUGCAUCGGUCGGGAUUGAGGAACUCGGCGCGCCGCAAGGCCGGGUCUCAGACCACGUCCGCGCCCAGGAUGCUGGCACAAUGGCUUUAAUCGACCCGUCUUGAAACACGGACCAAGGAGUCUAACAUGCCUGCGAGUGUUUGGGUGGAAAACCCAUGCGCGCAAUGAAGGUGAAGGUUGAGAUCCCCCUCGUGGGGAGCAUCGACGCCCGGACCAGACCUGCUGCGACGGAUCCGCGGUGGAGCAUGCAUGUUGGGACCCGAAAGAUGGUGAACUAUGCCUGAAUAGGGCGAAGCCAGAGGAAACUCUGGUGGAGGCUCGUAGCGAUUCUUACGUGCAAAUCGAUCGUCGAAUUUGGGUAUAGGGCGAAAGACUAAUCGAACCAUCUAGUAGCUGGUUCCUGC